RNAcentral lists this ribosomal RNA (1338 nucleotides) under Paralithodes camtschaticus (red king crab). RNAcentral's name for it is "16S ribosomal RNA". The stretch from base 872 to 1247 matches the Rfam family "Bacterial large subunit ribosomal RNA", at positions 2073 to 2647 of the family's 2925-position model. Lineage: Eukaryota; Metazoa; Arthropoda; Malacostraca; Decapoda; Lithodidae. The record is from RNAcentral.
GAUUAAAACUUAUUAUUAUAAUAAUUUUAUUUAUUGUUGUAAGAAAAAUAAUUUUAAACAAAAAUAAUUAGUAUUAAUAAAGAAAUUUAUAAAAGAUAAUAGUUAAUAGUAUUGUAAAAGAAUGUUAAUAUAUUAGUAAAAUAAUCAAAUAAUAGAAGUUAGAAUGUGCCUUGUGUAUCAUAAAAUAAUAAAUUAAUUUUUACAUAAAAUAAUCCCGAAAAAAAGGUAGUUAGAUUAUUAAUAAAGUUUUUGUAUUAACAAAAUUAAUAAUAAUAAUCUAGAGAUGAAAUAUCAGUCGAACUUUUAUAUCUGGUUUUAAAUAAAAUGAAUUUAAUUCAAGCUUUAUUUUAAAAAAAUAGAGUUAAAGAGUAAGGGGGUGAGCUUUUUACUCAAUUAUAAAAAAAAUAUAAAUUUAAAUAAAUAAUUCUUGAAAUUUAGGCUUAUAAGUAGCCAUUUUUUAAAAGUGUUUUAACUAAUAUUUGGAAUAAUUUAAUAUUUAAAAUAAUUUUAUUAUAGUAAUUUAAAACUAUUAAAAAUAAUAAUUAAAAGGUUAUUAUGUUCUUAUUAGUAUAAAUUUAUUUUAUUAAAAAAAUUUAUUUUAAUUUUAAAAAAAAUUAUAAUUUUAUUUGAUAUUUAAAAAGAACUCGGCAAAAAGAUUCUUGCCUGUUUAACAAAAACAUGUCUAUAUGAAGGUGUAUAUAGUUUGGCCUGCUCACUGAUUAAAUUAAAGAGCCGCAGUAUUUUGACUGUGCGAAGGUAGCAUAAUAAAUUGUCUUUUAAAUAAAGGCUUGAAUGAAAGGUUGGACAAAGUAUCAUCUGUUUCUUAAAUAUUUAUUGAAUUUGACUUUUAAGUGAAAAGGCUUAAAUAAAUCAAAAAGACGAUAAGACCCUAUAAAUCUUUACAAUAAAUAUAUUUUAUAUUUUAGUUUAUAAGUGAAUGAGAUAUAAAAAUAUAGGUUUGUUGCGCUGGGGCGGCGUAGAUAUAUAAAUAAACUGUCUAUAGUUUAAAUACAAUAAUCAUUGCUUAAUAUAAAUUGAUCCUUAAAUAGAUUAAAAGAUUAAGAUACUUUAGGGAUAACAGCGUUAUUUUUUUUGAGAGUUCUUAUCGAAGAAAAAGUUUGCGACCUCGAUGUUGAAUUAAAGUUUCUCUGUGGUGUAGCCGCUAUAAGAGAGAGUCUGUUCGACUUUUAAUACUUUACAUGAUUUGAGUUCAGACCGGCGUGAGCCAGGUUGGUUUCUAUCUUUUGUUAAAAAUAAAAUUAUUUUAGUACGAAAGGAUUAAAUAAUUAAAACAUUUUUAUAAUUUAGAAUAUUAAUAUCCUUUUAAAAAUUAAUUUA